Molecule: ribosomal RNA, 465 nt
Filed under: Vreelandella stevensii
Lineage: Bacteria; Pseudomonadati; Pseudomonadota; Gammaproteobacteria; Oceanospirillales; Halomonadaceae
Description: partial 16S ribosomal RNA
Rfam family: Bacterial small subunit ribosomal RNA
Source: RNAcentral
CCUACGGGGGGCAGCAGUGGGGAAUAUUGGACAAUGGGGGCAACCCUGAUCCAGCCAUGCCGCGUGUGUGAAGAAGGCCCUCGGGUUGUAAAGCACUUUCAGUGAGGAAGAACGCCUGGUGGUUAAUACCCAUCAGGAAAGACAUCACUCACAGAAGAAGCACCGGCUAACUCCGUGCCAGCAGCCGCGGUAAUACGGAGGGUGCGAGCGUUAAUCGGAAUUACUGGGCGUAAAGCGCGCGUAGGUGGCUUGAUAAGCCGGUUGUGAAAGCCCCGGGCUCAACCUGGGAACGGCAUCCGGAACUGUCAAGCUAGAGUGCAGGAGAGGAAGGUGGAAUUCCCGGUGUAGCGGUGAAAUGCGUAGAGAUCGGGAGGAAUACCAGUGGCGAAGGCGGCCUUCUGGACUGACACUGACGCUGAGGUGCGAAAGCGUGGGUAGCGAACAGGAUUAGAUACCCCGGUAGUC